CGCCUGUUUAUCAAAAACAUGUCUUUUUGAAAAUAAUUUAAAGUCUGGUCUGCCCACUGAUUUAUUAAUAAUUAAAGGGCUGCAGUAUAUUGACUGUACAAAGGUAGCAUAAUAAUUAGUCUUUUAAUUGAUGACUUGUAUGAAUGAUCGGAUAAAAUAUAAACUGUCUCUUAAUAAAUUUAUAGAAUUUAAUUUUUUAUUUAAAAAGUUAAAAUAAUUUUAAAAGACGAGAAGACCCUAUAGAGUUUAAUAAUUUUAUAAAUUAAAAUUAUAUAUAUAAAUUCAAUUAAAAAUUAUAAAUUUAUUUUGUUGGGGUGAUAAAAAAAUUAAUUAAACUUUUUUUAAAAUUUAACAUAAAUAAAUGAAUAUUUGAUCCAAUUUUUUUUUUGAUUAUAAGAAUAAAUUACCUUAGGGAUAACAGCGUAAUUUUUUUUUUUAGUUCUUAUAAAAAAAAAAGUUUGCGACCUCGAUGUUGGAUUGAGAUAAAAUUUAAAUGCAAAAGUUUAAAAUUUUGAUCUGUUCGAUCAUUAAAAUCUUACAUGAUCUGAGUUCAAACCGGAG
Molecule: ribosomal RNA, 561 nt
Filed under: Yponomeuta tokyonellus
Lineage: Eukaryota; Metazoa; Arthropoda; Insecta; Lepidoptera; Yponomeutidae
Description: partial 16S ribosomal RNA
Rfam family: Archaeal large subunit ribosomal RNA (bases 414-561)
Source: RNAcentral